UACGGAGGACGCGAGCGUUAUCCGGAUUUAUUGGGUUUAAAGGGUGCGUAGGCGGUCUGUUAAGUCAGCGGUAAAAUUGCGGGGCUCAACCCCGUCGAGCCGUUGAAACUGGCAGACUUGAGUUGGCGAGAAGUACGCGGAAUGCGCGGUGUAGCGGUGAAAUGCAUAGAUAUCGCGCAGAACUCCGAUUGCGAAGGCAGCGUACCGGCGCCACACUGACGCUGAGGCACGAAAGCGUGGGGAUCGAACAGG
This 252-nucleotide ribosomal RNA is filed under the name uncultured bacterium. RNAcentral's name for it is "partial 16S ribosomal RNA". It matches the Rfam family "Bacterial small subunit ribosomal RNA", at positions 524 to 776 of the family's 1533-position model. The record is from RNAcentral.